RNAcentral lists this ribosomal RNA (254 nucleotides) under uncultured bacterium. Its description in RNAcentral is "partial 16S ribosomal RNA". It matches the Rfam family "Bacterial small subunit ribosomal RNA", at positions 524 to 776 of the family's 1533-position model. The record is from RNAcentral.
UACGAAGGGGGCUAGCGUUGUUCGGAAUUACUGGGCGUAAAGGGCGCGUAGGCGGCGUGUCAAGUCAGGCGUGAAAGCCCCGGGCUCAACCUGGGAACCGCGCUUGAGACUGGCAUGCUCGAGUUCGGGAGAGGAUGGUGGAAUUCCCAGUGUAGAGGUGAAAUUCGUAGAUAUUGGGAAGAACACCGGUGGCGAAGGCGGCGACCUGGUCCUUUUACUGACGCUGAGGCGCGAAAGCGUGGGGAGCAAACAGG